UUUUAUGGAGAGUUUGAUCCUGGCUCAGAGUGAACGCUGGCGGCGUGCCUAAUACAUGCAAGUCGAACGAUGAAGCUUCUAGCUUGCUAGAAGUGGAUUAGUGGCGCACGGGUGAGUAACGCAUAGGUUAUGUGCCUCUUAGUUUGGGAUAGCCAUUGGAAACGAUGAUUAAUACCAGAUACUCCCUACGGGGGAAAGAUUUAUCGCUAAGAGAUCAGCCUAUGUCCUAUCAGCUUGUUGGUAAGGUAAUGGCUUACCAAGGCUAUGACGGGUAUCCGGCCUGAGAGGGUGAACGGACACACUGGAACUGAGACACGGUCCAGACUCCUACGGGAGGCAGCAGUAGGGAAUAUUGCUCAAUGGGGGAAACCCUGAAGCAGCAACGCCGCGUGGAGGAUGAAGGUUUUAGGAUUGUAAACUCCUUUUGUUAGAGAAGAUAAUGACGGUAUCUAACGAAUAAGCACCGGCUAACUCCGUGCCAGCAGCCGCGGUAAUACGGAGGGUGCAAGCGUUACUCGGAAUCACUGGGCGUAAAGAGCGCGUAGGCGGGAUAGUCAGUCAGGUGUGAAAUCCUAUGGCUUAACCAUAGAACUGCAUUUGAAACUACUAUUCUAGAGUGUGGGAGAGGUAGGUGGAAUUCUUGGUGUAGGGGUAAAAUCCGUAGAGAUCAAGAGGAAUACUCAUUGCGAAGGCGACCUGCUGGAACAUUACUGACGCUGAUUGCACGAAAGCGUGGGGAGCAAACAGGAUUAGAUACCCUGGUAGUCCACGCCCUAAACGAUGGAUGCUAGUUGUUGGAGGGCUUAGUCUCUCCAGUAAUGCAGCUAACGCAUUAAGCAUCCCGCCUGGGGAGUACGGUCGCAAGAUUAAAACUCAAAGGAAUAGACGGGGACCCGCACAAGCGGUGGAGCAUGUGGUUUAAUUCGAAGAUACACGAAGAACCUUACCUAGGCUUGACAUUGAGAGAAUCCGCUAGAAAUAGUGGAGUGUCUAGCUUGCUAGACCUUGAAAACAGGUGCUGCACGGCUGUCGUCAGCUCGUGUCGUGAGAUGUUGGGUUAAGUCCCGCAACGAGCGCAACCCCCUUUCUUAGUUGCUAACAGGUCAUGCUGAGAACUCUAAGGAUACUGCCUCCGUAAGGAGGAGGAAGGUGGGGACGACGUCAAGUCAUCAUGGCCCUUACGCCUAGGGCUACACACGUGCUACAAUGGGGUGCACAAAGAGAAGCAAUACUGCGAAGUGGAGCCAAUCUUCAAAACGCCUCUCAGUUCGGAUUGUAGGCUGCAACUCGCCUGCAUGAAGCUGGAAUCGCUAGUAAUCGCAAAUCAGCCAUGUUGCGGUGAAUACGUUCCCGGGUCUUGUACUCACCGCCCGUCACACCAUGGGAGUUGUGUUUGCCUUAAGUCAGGAUGCUAAACUAGCUACUGCCCACGGCACACACAGCGACUGGGGUGAAGUCGUAACAAGGUAACCGUAGGUGAACCUGCGGUUGGAUCACCUCCUUUCUAGA
This 1509-nucleotide ribosomal RNA is filed under the name Helicobacter pylori. RNAcentral's name for it is "bacterial SSU rRNA". It matches the Rfam family "Bacterial small subunit ribosomal RNA". Lineage: Bacteria; Pseudomonadati; Campylobacterota; Epsilonproteobacteria; Campylobacterales; Helicobacteraceae. The record is from RNAcentral.